This 705-nucleotide ribosomal RNA is filed under the name uncultured eukaryote. RNAcentral describes it as "eukaryotic LSU rRNA". The stretch from base 294 to 447 matches the Rfam family "5.8S ribosomal RNA". The record is from RNAcentral.
UUCCGUAGGUGAACCUGCGGAAGGAUCAUUCACACGAAUCCAACCCUAAACCGUGAAGCUUACCUGGGACCGGGCGCGUAGUUUCGCCUUGCGCGAUCUCCGCCGCGAGCUUACCCAAGGCGUCGUCUCGUUCGCUCUAUUCCAAACGGCUCCCGAGCAAUGGCCGCGUCCGUGGUUAUCCUCGGGAUGUUCCGGGAGCGGGCCCGCCUCCCAGUGGGGGGAUGUGGUAGAGGCGUUCGCCGCUUUUUCUCUCACUCCAACUCCGAAUGCCUGUGAGCAACGCAACCAAUUAAAACUUUCAGCGAUGGAUGCCUCGGCUCGAGUACCGAUGAAGGACGCAGCGAAAUGCGAUACGCAUUGUGAAUUGCAGAAUUCCGUGAGUCAUCAGAUCUCUGAACGCACUCUGCACUCUCGGUGUAAUCCGUGAGUACACCUGGUUCAGUGUGUUUUGUUCCUCGUGCCAGCUGCAAUCGAGCAGUUCAAUGGCGUUGGUGUGUGCUGCGGGGUUCGUCCCCCCGGCGCAUGAAUGGCAUUAGGGCUCGCUCCUCGCAACCAGGGUGAUCGCAGCUUGUCUGCGUUUCAUGUUUGACUGCGCUGGAGGCUAACGAGGUACCUGUUCUUCUUUGACUGUUCGCUCUCGGGCGUUAACGGUCUUCCAAUGCAAACCUGAACUCAGGUGGGGCUACCCGCUGAACUUAAGCAUAU